Molecule: long non-coding RNA, 520 nt
Organism: Stegodyphus dumicola
Lineage: Eukaryota; Metazoa; Arthropoda; Arachnida; Araneae; Eresidae
Source: RefSeq, a predicted model, not a curated record
GGCGAUUUCACAAUCUCGCGUGUGCCAGUCUUCAACCGUCUGGUGGACAUCAAAAUCUGCUGCGUGUUCUGAACAUUAUUAUACGAAUUUGAAGGCUAAAUGCAUAAGCAUGUGAAGAGAUAAGUGGUCUCAGAACACACUAAGGCCUUAUUAAACGGUGGAGAGAUUUAGCUAUUUUAAGCAUUAUGCCGUCAUCAAAUUUAUCAAAGUAGGAAAUGAGAAAAAUAUACAUAGCUGUCACCGUGUCAAGAACUUUGGACCUUCCAAUAUUUGCCGGACGUAUUUUUCAGUUAUACCAGAAAAACCUUACAUUCAUACACCUUACAUACAAGGGCGAUUGGAGAAGCAGAAUUCAAUUGCUAACCUUGAUGGAAAGAAAUUAUCGUCCACCAUCUUUUAGGUCGGGCUCCACCAGCGAUUAUUGGUCACCUCAUUGAAAGAAUGGUCAAAAGCUGUAAAGUUUCCAUGAAGGUCUGACGUUUUCACAUACUUUACUAAUGAAAGUUUUCUUUGUUUUUAG